RNAcentral lists this transfer RNA (108 nucleotides) under Myotis lucifugus (little brown bat). Lineage: Eukaryota; Metazoa; Chordata; Mammalia; Chiroptera; Vespertilionidae. The record is from Rfam by way of RNAcentral.
CCGGCCGUGGCUUAAUGGUUAGAGCGUCGGCCUGAGCACCAAAGGGUCGAGGUUGGGAUUCCCAGUCAAGGGCACGUACCUGGGUUGCAGGUUCCAUCCCCGGCCGGU